CCACUCCCCACGAGCCCACCUUCCCCGAUCCCAUCUGGCCACUGCCUCCCUCCUGCCCCGCGCCAGCAACCGCGCUGCCGCCGGGCCCCGGCCACCAACAGCCCCGCCGCCCAGCCCAACUCCGGCGAAACCCAUGUCCCCGGCGUACAUCCGAGGCCGCGCGCCACCUUCAGGACACUCUCCAUGGUGGAGAUCCCUUGCCCCACCGCUUGUUCCUCCACGAACCCUGCUUCCUUCCGGGAUCCGUCGCCACCACGCGGCGGCGAACUCCCCCGCAGGGAUCCACUGGGGACGGCGGCGUCCCGAUCCCUUGCCGCGGCCAACGACCUCCUGCUCCGCCCUUGCUGUGAUGGCCGCCGCCGGCCUUCCUCCGCGCUGGAGCUGCCCGUCCCCUACCUCCGGACGCUGUUUUGGUCUCCCCCACCUUUGGCAGUAGCUACAACGUCGGACAUCUCCUGCAGUUGAUCAGGUCAUUGACCACCGCCCGAUGCGGCGUCGGACUAGCGGAUCCACGCUGCUCCUCCACCUCCCAAUGCCCCCGGCCCGUCCUGCUGCUCACCUCCUCCUCGCAUAUGCAUCAACAAAACAUGGCAGCCGCUGCAGUCCACAUCGUUCAACAGUAGCAGGUCAACUCCUCCAAGGUCACACAAGCUCGCCGCCAAAAGCCCACGGUCUAUUGAGCCAGAGAUGGCACUGGACGCUGCCGCGGCCGGUCAUCUGGAUCGGAGCCACCAACCCAUGUCCGCACAGAGGGGGCUGGUAGCAGCCCCGUUGAUGGGGAUUGGGCACUAUCUGCAGCUACAAGUGGCAUCGACCUGCAGCUGCAGGGAGCGUCGACUUGCAGCUGGAGGAGGUGUCGACCUAAAGCUCGCCACCCACGCCACUAUGACCUACUGCCACAACGGUCCACCACCUACAGCCGGCGCCGCAGCGCCUCGGCCGUUCAACUAUGCCACCUCAGGCCGUUCAACUAUGCCCCCCGCCAUCGUCGACUCCAUUUGCUUCCUUCCGCUGUACGCGGCCAGCUCCAUGAGCUACUCGCCUCUACUCUGUUUAGAAGAGCGUCGUGAGCUCGUCCAACUAUGGCUGCUUCUCUGCUGAGAUUAUAAAGAAAAGAAGACAUGGGAUCUAGGAUCUAGUGAUUUCUAGGUAACUUGCACAAGAAAUACAGGGCUGGUUAUUUGUGGAACUUGAGCUACACAGAAUUGAGGUAUACUGCUUUGUUUCUUGGAUGGGUGUGUACGUUUACUGGAAAUUGAACCCGCGUUACAAAAGGUAGGUACCAGAAAUGAGGAAAAUGAUUUUGUUAGAGAAACUAUGCAAAGCAAACUUUCAUUCAUUUUCCUAAAAUGACAUGCCUUAAUUUAUCCAAUCUUUUUUUUGCAAUUGCAGUGUCAUGCCGUUAAAUAAUGCCAUGCAAUCAUCAGGUGAAAACCUGCAGGUGACAACUCCUGUUGUGGCCAUUUCUGCUCGGGCAGAUCCCACUCCUGUUGAGAAUAGCAGCACACAAAAGGCUCAAGUUGUCGAUUAGAUGGCAAUCAGUGAACAGUUUGGUUUCUUCUCUUCUACAAAGAGUUUUUUUCCUCCAUCAAUACCGGUGGCCGCUCUAACUUUGUGAAGCUAGAGAAAAAAGAAGACACAUGGGAAAAGAUAGUUAACUUACACAUACAGUAUGAUUUUUCAGGCAUAAGAGAGGAUAAACUUUCUCAUCUAGUCAUUUUGCUUGUGUCUAGCAGGGUUAUGAGCUGAAGGCGCAUUAACUUGGCUUGCCCACGGCGGUGUCUGAUACAGUAGUCUGUUAAUUUUCUGAUCGAGUUGAGCAGAGCAAUUUAAGACUAAUUAAUGCCAUGCUGUAAAUUUGUUGCACAAACAAACUGAUGAACCAACAACGAAAUUAUAACUUGGGCA
Non-coding RNA from Aegilops tauschii subsp. strangulata, 1908 nucleotides. Lineage: Eukaryota; Viridiplantae; Streptophyta; Magnoliopsida; Poales; Poaceae. The record is from RefSeq and is a predicted model, not a curated record.